RNAcentral lists this ribosomal RNA (253 nucleotides) under uncultured bacterium. Its description in RNAcentral is "partial 16S ribosomal RNA". It matches the Rfam family "Bacterial small subunit ribosomal RNA", at positions 524 to 776 of the family's 1533-position model. The record is from RNAcentral.
UACGGGGGGGGCAAGCGUUGUUCGGAAUUACUGGGCGGAAAGGGCUCGUAGGCGGCCAACUAAGUCGGAUGUGAAAUCCCCAGGCUUAACCUGGGAACUGCAUCCGAUACUGGAUGGCUUGAAUCCGGGAGAGGGAUGCAGAAUUCCAGGUGUAGCGGUGAAAUGCGUAGAUAUCUGGAGGAAUACCGGUGGCGAAAGCGGCUCACUGGAUCGAAACUGACGCUGAGGUGCGAAAGCUAGGGUAGCAAACGGG